RNAcentral lists this long non-coding RNA (422 nucleotides) under Homo sapiens (human). Its description in RNAcentral is "HSALNT0301793". The record is from RNAcentral. Lineage: Eukaryota; Metazoa; Chordata; Mammalia; Primates; Hominidae.
CCCCCUAGACCAUCACAGACGCCGAGCUUCGCGUAACUCUCACAGUGGAAAAAGACAGGAAUGUCAGCCCUCUGAGCCCAAGCAAAGCCAUCAUAUCCCCUGUGACCUGCACGUACACAUCCAGAUCGCCGGUUCCUGCCUUAACUGAUGACAUUCCACCACAAAAGAAGUGAAAAUGGCCUGUUCCUGCCUUAACUGAUGACAUUUUCUUGUGAAAUUCCUUCUCCUGGCUCAUCCUGGCUCAAAAGCUCCCCCAUUGAGUACCUUGUGACCCCCACUCCUGCCCGCCAGAGAACAACCCCCCUUUUUCCUUUACCUUCCCAAAUCCUAUAAAACCGCCCCACCCCUGUCUCCCUUGGCUGACUUUCUUUUCAGACUCAGCCCACCUGCACCCAGGUGAUUAAAAGCUUUAUUGCUCACAC